GCCGGGUGCGUUGGCAUGUGCCUGUAAUCCAAGUCACUGGGAGGCUGAGGUUGGUGGACCAAGUGAGCUGAGGAGCUCUGGGCUGCAGCACGCUAUGUCGAAUGGGUGUCCACGCCAAAUUCGGUAUCGAUAUGGUGUUCCUGGGGGAGCCCGGGACCACCAGGUUGUCUAAGGAGGGGUGAACCGGCCCAGGUCGGAAACGAAGCAGGUCAAAUCCCCCGUGCUGUCCAGUAGUGGGAUAAUACCUGUGAGUAGAUGCUGCAGUGCAGCCUUGGCAAAACAUUGAGACCUAGUCUUUU
RNAcentral lists this signal recognition particle RNA (299 nucleotides) under Oncorhynchus mykiss (rainbow trout). RNAcentral describes it as "Metazoan signal recognition particle RNA (ENSOMYG00000052011.1)". It matches the Rfam family "Metazoan signal recognition particle RNA". From Rfam's summary of the family: The signal recognition particle (SRP) is a universally conserved ribonucleoprotein. It is involved in the co-translational targeting of proteins to membranes. Lineage: Eukaryota; Metazoa; Chordata; Actinopteri; Salmoniformes; Salmonidae. The record is from RNAcentral.